CCCGAGUGCUUGCACUCAAUUGGAAAGAGGAGUGGCGGACGGGUGAGUAACACGUGGGUAACCUACCCAUCAGAGGGGGAUAACACUUGGAAACAGGUGCUAAUACCGCAUAACAGUUUAUGCCGCAUGGCAUAAGAGUGAAAGGCGCUUUCGGGUGUCGCUGAUGGAUGGACCCGCGGUGCAUUAGCUAGUUGGUGAGGUAACGGCUCACCAAGGCCACGAUGCAUAGCCGACCUGAGAGGGUGAUCGGCCACACUGGGACUGAGACACGGCCCAGACUCCUACGGGAGGCAGCAGUAGGGAAUCUUCGGCAAUGGACGAAAGUCUGACCGAGCAACGCCGCGUGAGUGAAGAAGGUUUUCGGAUCGUAAAACUCUGUUGUUAGAGAAGAACAAGGACGUUAGUAACUGAACGUCCCCUGACGGUAUCUAACCAGAAAGCCACGGCUAACUACGUGCCAGCAGCCGCGGUAAUACGUAGGUGGCAAGCGUUGUCCGGAUUUAUUGGGCGUAAAGCGAGCGCAGGCGGUUUCUUAAGUCUGAUGUGAAAGCCCCCGGCUCAACCGGGGAGGGUCAUUGGAAACUGGGAGACUUGAGUGCAGAAGAGGAGAGUGGAAUUCCAUGGUUAAACC
RNAcentral lists this ribosomal RNA (631 nucleotides) under Enterococcus faecalis. Its description in RNAcentral is "bacterial SSU rRNA". It matches the Rfam family "Bacterial small subunit ribosomal RNA", at positions 69 to 681 of the family's 1533-position model. The record is from RNAcentral. Lineage: Bacteria; Bacillati; Bacillota; Bacilli; Lactobacillales; Enterococcaceae.